ACAUGAUAUCCCAAAACCUAGCGAUGUUCUUCUCUCUGAUCCCUCUCAUCUCUAUUUCUCUCUCCCUCUCAUCAAAACCCAGUGAUGAUCUUCUCCCUACACCCACACCACCGCCGAUCUGCCAUCACCCAACGAUGAUGCUCCAACAACCGGCCGUGCAUUUCAAGCACCCACUUCUGUUUAUUAGAUCAGACCUUGGGUUUUGUGGUGAGUGAAGCGAAAAAAACAAGAUCAUACUUAUAUUAAACUAACAACUAGGGUGCAUAUGGUGGCAAAACCUAAGUGUUAAGUAUAAAAGAGAUCUUGCAGGAGAAGAUGGAUAAACUUCCCAAAAGUUGAGCAAGCAUUUGUAACCCUUAGUAGGAAGUAUUACAUGUAUUUGAUUUGUAGAUUGCUUUCUUUGUUGAAAAUGUGAAUCUUGAAUUGUCUCAUGUUGAAUUUCUUUUGCAACUUUUGUGUAAGUGAUAAGAGGUUCUUAUGAAUUUAACAAGCGAGAUUUUUGGUAGUAA
Molecule: long non-coding RNA, 509 nt
Organism: Quercus lobata
Lineage: Eukaryota; Viridiplantae; Streptophyta; Magnoliopsida; Fagales; Fagaceae
Exons: 2
Source: RefSeq, a predicted model, not a curated record